GAGAGUAAACAGUGCGUGAAACCGCUCAGAGGUAAACGGGUGGAGUUGAACUGCGAUCCUUGGGAAUUCAGCUGAUGAGCAUGAUUUGUGCUUGGGCAUAUUGACCGCCUUUCAGUGUCUGCUUAACUGCGGGUGCCUGCCUCUGGUGGGUAUGUGUGGUGCGCUUAUCAUGUGCCGCACGCAUUGGAGGGUGUAUGAGUCUGCUUGUCAGUGCACUUUCUCAGGGUGUUCACCACGACCGGCACUGCUGUCUGUCUGCUGUAGUCAAACUGAUCAGGUCUGAUUAACGUUGGGCUUGGUUGGGUUGGCAGGUGACUCACUGGUCCAUUCUGUGGGCUAUGAGUGUUACUAGCCGGCUAUAGUGGAUCUGUACGGUGUGUCGGAGACGGCGGCUUUGCAUAUGCGCUCUGUCCUUCAGGCGUGGUUGAGUCUGGUCGACUUGUUGCUAGUUUCGGCUGGUCAGUUGAUGGCUUGAUCAUGUUCAGUUGGCAGUGGUGUGUGUGUCUUAGUUUGGGCCAAUAGUCUGUGGUGUUGUGGUAGACUAUCCACCUG
This 552-nucleotide ribosomal RNA is filed under the name Trichobilharzia szidati. RNAcentral's name for it is "partial 28S ribosomal RNA". The record is from RNAcentral. Lineage: Eukaryota; Metazoa; Platyhelminthes; Trematoda; Strigeidida; Schistosomatidae.